This 14007-nucleotide long non-coding RNA is filed under the name Zea mays. RNAcentral describes it as "long non-coding RNA (ZMAY_LNC004283)". Lineage: Eukaryota; Viridiplantae; Streptophyta; Magnoliopsida; Poales; Poaceae. The record is from RNAcentral.
CUUGCGAGUGGCUCACGCUUUCCAGCCUCUUGUGGCCGACUCAGCUUUGGUCCUCCGCAUCACGUGAUUAAUUAACGUACCUCAAUGGAUGCACAAUGCACAUGUAUGAAUAUCAAGACGAAUAUCGCAAGAUAAUAUUACGAUUUUACAUAAUGAAGAAUUAAACACUUCUAUCUUAACCAGAUCUAACUCAUGAUACUAGUAUCGACAUAUUACUAAAUACAACAGUCACCCUUCUAUCUUAACCAGAUCUAACUCAAACAUCAAGAACAAUAUUCUGAACAAGUCAUAUACCAUCAUUAGCUAACGCAUGACACCGAAGGACUAACAAUACUUAGACUUAACAACCAUGGAUACCUAUAACUUAAAAUAACAUACAAUAGCUUUUUAAGUGACUUAGAAUUACUACUCUAAACCAUUAUGCACAUCAUAUCAGCUAGACAAGAUAUCAACACAAAUCAAUUAUGCAAAACUCGUGACAUAUAAGCAUCACUAGCGCUGAUCGGCUAGACGAUAUAAACAUUUACACCAUACUUCUCAUUAUUAACUUGACCAUUCCUCGCGAAUGACGAACCAAUUUAUACACGCUUAACUUAUACGUCCUCUAAAACAUUCUUCGUAAAUCCUGCAUUUUAGACCUAAGUUGAACCAUAAUACGCAAUUAUUUCACAUGAAUACGUUACCGGAGGUGCUGAGAUAUUUUAGCAAACAUCUAACACAAACACGACGCGCCUGCUAAACACGAGAAUUAUUACAACUAAUAAGACUAGUUAAUCCAAUCAUCAAAUAGACUUACAAUAAUUAUAAAUCAGCUCAACAGCAUCAAACGUGACUCAAUACUGAUAAAUCCUGGCUCGGGCUUGUCGUCGAACAUUUGAUGGGUGUUGUGCGGCUUCACUUCCUUCUCCAUACCUUUCGAUGAUUUCUCUCAAACCAGCAACUCGCCACCCCACAAGCAACAUCUAUAAUAGACAUGUGAAGCAGUGUCGAGAUCUACCGCCCUCAUGGCCCUAAUGGUGUUGUCUAUGAGGAGGCGAAGCACAGCCAGGUGCGUAUCGGAAGAGAUACUGAGAUCAAAGACGAUGACACGCAUCAUGGCGAGGCGGCAUAUGGCAGGGGAAAAAUAGGAACUGAUGAUGACGAGGGAGUACCACGGCUGCUGGGGACUUGGCGAGGUGGAGACGUGUAGCUGAGUGACGAUGGUAGAAUUUGCUGGUUCGACACGGGGAGGACCAACAAGAUAGACAGCCAGUGAGACAAGAAGGUGGAGCGUAGUCAAACACCAUGUUGAUGCGUGGCCACCAGAAGGGCAAAGACGAGGUCGAGCAGGGAAGGAUAGGGUUCGACGUGCUCGACGACGAUACGAUAUGGUGGCGUAUAGAGCUGCAGGUCUGGCGAGCCGACGCAAGUGACGGAGACAGCUACGUCUGGCAGCAGCGCAUCGACUGAGGACAAGCCCAUAGCGACGCACAACGGUGAGGAGCUCGGCGCAGAACGUGCGGCGCAAGCAGGCAUUGAGGAGUACGCGACUAGCACGGACGAACGCGACAAGGCGAGGCCAUCCACCAUGGCUGCUUGAGGGAGGCGAGCACACACGAUGACCGACCAAUACUAGGAAAGGUCGACAACGAUGAGUUGGGACGAGGGCACACGGAACUGCGGGGUGGCGACAAACAGCCAUGGCGAGGAGCCGUGUGUGGGAGCAGGUACUGGCGAGCAGAGAGUUGGUGGCGGCUUGCAUGUUGGCGAGCACCAGAGAAGGGUUGCGGUGACUGGAGAGUGGUGGACGCGACUGUAGAGUAGCGUCAAGUCGCGGCUCCCAGAGCUACAGCAGCGGCAAGGCCAGAAAGAUGGCUGGCGAGCUGGAGACCAGAGAGAAGCGUCGAUCUCCAUGGAACCUGUGGACGAAUGAGCAGGAAAACACCAGAGAGCAGGGUGAGCGCCAUGGGGGAUGGGGUCCGACGAUUCGACGGUGGCCUCGACCGGAGGGAAUACGAAGACAGCGAGCAGGGAAGGAGCACCGGCAGAGGGCUGGGCCGAGCUGGAGCCGGCGCUGGGGGCUGGGGGCUGGGCGAGAUCUAAGCUGGGGGAAGCAUCGGCUAUGGAGGAACACGGAAGCAAAGGCACGGUGGCUAUGGAAAAGGGAGACGAGGACGACGGAGCGGUGGAGCUUGAGGCUGGCCCUACAGUGAGCUACAUCAGGGACCAAGGCGAGACCGCGGGCGGGCGAGUUCCAUGGUUAGGAGGGUGCGCGGCCAGCCUGGAGGAGCAAGAGCUGGUGCGAGCUGCACGCGUGGGACGAAGACGUGAGGGAGAGAGGCGCACUGAAGAUAGAGAGAAGAGGGUCGGCUGGGGAAGAAGCCUGUGCACGUGGGAGAUAAGGUGUGACACCCCACGUGUCAGUUUCGUGUUACGUCGGGAGGUUUAUCAUAAUCUCGGAUGCUUAGUGGAAAUUUCAAAUUCUCGCUCGCGUAUGUCUCUGAUUAUCCAAAUUAUUCAUCCCUAUUUCACCGAAUCUGGAGUUAUUCCAGUCUCACAGAAGGCCGAAUUUGGAGCCUAUUAAAACUUUUAUUCUCGGCACGAAUGCGAACUCGAUAAUCCAUCUCAAUUUAUAAAUCUCAUCUAAAGCUUAUUUAAUAAAGCGCUCGACAGUUGCUAGUCGAGUUGUGUCUGAAUCCAAUUUUCUCGAUAUUCGAUCUAUAUCCAAAAAUUAAUCCAAGUCCGUACUCUCAAACGGAAUACUUAAUAUGUCGUCCUCUAAUUAAUUUUAUCUGACUCAGCUUAAUACCUCUGUGUCCGAUCCGAUUUCUAAAAUCAACAUCGGCGACUUUUAAAUGUCGCGGUUUGUCUCUUUCAAUCAUAAAUCCGAAAGCCGGUCAUAUCUUAAGACGAUUCAUUUUCGAAUCUUAUUUUCGAGCAAAAACAAAUCAGACUCUCGAUCGAAUUAAUCGCUCAAUCGUCCGUUCGUCCGAACUCUAUUUCACUCUGUUCUCCGUUGAGAUGAAUUCCGCAGGACCAUUUUUAUUCCGAAAAAUAUUUAGCGCAGCGCGAUUACGUGUUUUAGGCCAAGCCCAGCCCGGCCCAGCCCACUGAGAAACCCUAACCCUAGCGAUUUUCUAUAAAUAGAGGUGCUCCUUCCUUGCUUGGCUUUAAUUCACCUACCCCCUAGCCGCCACUUUCUUUUUCCCUGUCUUCUUCUCCCUCGCGCUGCAGCUCUGCACACUCCCUCCCUGCCCAUGGCGUCCUCCUCUCCUCUCCCAUGGCUACAGCAGGGAGCUCAGCUCCUCUCCUCGGCCGCUAUGGUGCUCGACGCCUCUCCCCUUCAGGCAUGGCAGCAGCUUCUUCUCCUCCCCUAUGUUUUUCCGGUACGUGCGCAAAGCUAUUCCUUUCCUGGCCGCCGAGCUCCACCUCCCAUGGCCGGGCCUCUGCCCCAGUGCUCGGCGCCCCUCUGUGCAGACCCACGCCUUCUACUUCGGCCAGCAGCAGCCGAGCGCCCUCCCUCCUCCUCCUCCCGGCGAGCGGCUGCAGAAGGGGGCCAUCUUCUCCAGCGCGCCGGGAGCUCCCUCCCUUUCAUGGCCGCCCAGCUCCUUGUCCAUGGCGCGCUUUCUCUGCUCCUUGCUCUAGGGCGCCCAGAUUUUCCAGCAGAGCUCCCCCAUGGCCGAAGUCAUCGCGCCCUCUGCUCCUCCCUCCCUAGCGCGUCUCACCUCUGGCCGGCGCCCUGCACAACAACCUUCUCCCCCCUCGGUCCCCCAUCCGAGCGCCCAAGUAGCGCCGCUCCCUGCGCCCUCCUCUGCGCACAGCGAUGAACCCCUCCUCGCUGUUCUCCGUGGUGCCCAUCGGCUGUUCGAUAAAGUACGCAGCAAGCCGCGCGCUGUAGCAGCCCUCCCAUUCGUUCUCCACUCCCCUCGUCGCGUGGCGUCGCUCUCGUGCUCACUGCGCAGCCCCAUCCGUGACGUUUUAAGUCCUCGGUGAGAUUCCUCGCUGCCCUUGCUGCUGUCAUAUUUUUGUGCACAGUAAAACUGUUGGACCAUUGAGUGAUGUUAAUCGCAGCUAGAUGAUGCUGUGGUGCCUCGCGUGAUGCAUUGAUUUGGCGAAGCCCCUAAACCGUGGACGCAUGCGCGACUCGAAUCCGAGAUGACAGGUUGAUGGAUUUAUAAUUUACUAUUGAUGUGAUUCGGUUGAUGGCAUGCAUAUAGAUAUGGUGUAUAUUGGUGUUGAAUAUGUGUGACUGUGAUGGUUCAUUUACGUGUCGCGAGGGUGGUUCGUCGAUAUAUUAAUUGAUUGUUAAAAUGCUUCGUCGUAAAAUAAUGUGUUUGUGCGGCAAAUUUAAUAAGGCGUAAAGCAUGCUUGGUAGUUUCCGCAGACGACUAAUGGGUUCGUCUAUGUUAAAAAUAUUUUAUGUAUUCAUCGUGGUGUAGGAUAGAGUGGAUCGAAGAUAUAAAUUAUGUGACAUGUGAUUAGUGUUUUUAAGAUGAGAUGUACGAAUGAUCGAUUAGUGUUUCACUUGUCUAGUCGAUAAAUGUUGUCAUAAAUACUUGUGCUAAAAUUGGUCAUGAGAAUGCAGUGGGCACGUGGUGUGUUUGGAUGUGACAAGUAGAUUGGAAGUGGGGGGUCUGUCGAAGCACUGAGAUGUCGAACGUGUAUAUAGAAGUGCAUUGUAGUGGUAAUUGCGAUAAGUUAAUCGGUAGUGUCUCGAGUGCACGCCACAACAUGGUUGUAUGCGAGACAAGGUAAUAUAAGGUGUGCUUGACACGAAUGUUCGGUCGAUAUAAGUAGAAAUUGUUUUGGCUUAAUUAGAGAGGUGGUGACAUGCCAAAGUAGUCAUCGCUUUCUAUAUAUUUAUAAGUCGAGUCGAGUCGAUGCACAUUAUGCGUUUGUUAAAUUAUGCUUCGCAUAUAGUGUAUGAUUGUGCUCACGAUUUUGAGUAGACACUUCAAGUAAAUUAAGUAGAAUCGUGAUACAAGUUGUGUAAUGAAGUUAGUUGCUUUAGAAUAAUUAUUGAAAUGUUCUGUUCAUAUGAUAAACAUGUAUGUGUUCACAGUUUGAGAAGUAAAUGCAUGGUGAUUGCGAUUUGGAGAUUAGUGGUUUACGAUUCAUAUGAGUUGGUCGGUGUGCGAAAAUACUUGUGAAUAUGUGUGUUUAUAAAAAUGUUGUAGUGUAUGUUGUGUCUCGGAUUUCGAUAAUAAUAGGCUAGCCGACGAGUAUGUUGUAUAGCGGCCUAGGUUGUUGCUCUGGUUAACCAACUUGUUAGAUGACUUUGGUUAAGCUCGUAGUCACGAUGAAUUGCUUUUAUAGUCUAGAUGUGCAUGGUUAUGAUCGCAGUUAAAAAUUAGUAGUGCUCAUGUGGUGUCUAAGCUAAAAUGAGAACUAGUGGGUGAAAAGCGCUUCGAUAUACAUAUAUGCCGGAUAUGAUGAUUGUGGUGAAUGCGUUGAUUAAUUGUGUAUGGUAGUUCUAGCGCAUGAAAUAACUUGUAUAAAGAUUAGUAAGUCUACUUGUUAGUCCUCAUUUAAUUAAUUUAACUCUAAUGAAUGGUAAAGUGUUAGAAUAAUUCAAGUCUCUAAAACGUGGCAAUUCUUGAAUUAUAUAGGAGCUGAAAAUUAUUAGUUGCUGUUUUGGACUGCACGCAGUGAUUUCCCCGUGCUGUAUGUUUGAUGAACUAAAUUAUGUUUUCUGUAGAUAUGUGAUAUAGAAAAGUUGUAGAUAACUUUAUUGUCUUACUGGUGUUAAAAUUUGACAGCCAUAAGUCUGAUCGUUUGGGAGUUAUACUUGUCGCAAAUUCAGUAACUGAAUAUGCCCACUUUCUGUACAGAUUCCAGAAAUUGAAUUGUUUACUUAAGUUAAUGUUACAAUCUGUUCAUGGUCAUUAUAAGAACGUUGUAGGUGCUUUUCUUAUCUUGCUUGUGUUAAAAUUUCACAACCAUAGGCCUGACAGUUUAAGAGUUAACAAUUUUUCAAACUGGUUGCUAUGUUCUGUCCACUGUCAGAACAGAUUUCGAAAACUGUGUUGUUUGAUUUAGUUAAACAUAGAAUCACUUCUUGGUGAUUAUAAAAGUUGUGUAGCACUUUUGCUUGGCUUUCCAAAAAGUCUUAGAUCACUCUUUUUGGUGAUCUGAAGAUUAAGUUAUGGAUGUUUAAAGUGCGAAGACUGAAUCUGUCUAAAUAUGGACAGCCAAGCCUUCUAAUGUCUUUUAUCCUUAGUUAAAUAUUGAAUCACCUUGAUAUGUAUAUAAAUUAUAUGUAGAAAAUUUCAUUAUCUUUUCAGAAAGUCUUUUAUUUGGAUGCCUGAAUCUCUAGUUAUGGAUUUUUAAAGUCACAAGCCUGAAUCUGUCCAAAUCUGGACAGAGCUGUUGUAUUAGCACGUUUUGACCUUGCUAAGUGUUGAAUCAUGUUGUGAUGACAAUACCAAAGUUGUAGAGCACUUUUUAAGCUUUCCAGAAAAUCCUAGUUUUCUAGUUUUGGAUUAGUAUGUGAAGAGUUACGAUUAAAACAAAUAACUGCUUGCUACUGUCCUAAAAAACUGCAUGUGCUCAUUUAAUUGUUAAUUCACCCUUUUGGCUAAAAAUGGUUAGUUAGCACUAAAUUAAUAUAAACUUGCCAUGACUAAGCUUAAUAAUGUAUGUGUGUCAUGUUUUAUAUGUUUAUUUUCUAGUUAUAUAUCUUGUGCUACUUUCAUUAUAUUCAUACACAUGCAUCUUGCAUCUCAUUUAGGACCGAGAGAUAAUGAUCGAGCCAGUGAUGUGGUGCAAACCACAAGAUGCAGCUGAUGGAUGACCUGAAGAAUGGUGAACUUACCCAGUGGAUGCUCGCCAAGCGAGUACCCCCAGCAAACACUAUCUAAGUGUUAAAUUAAAGGCAAGCCCCGGUUUUAUGCAUAACCGUUAUAUAUGCUAUUUUACUGCACUUAAUGUUUGUAGGCUUGUACUGUGCACUUAAAUAUAAUAGUUGCCUGAAACCAUAGUUGCAUGAACUUAGGAUUCCUGUUGAGAUGAAUACUAGUAUGCUAGGUCGAGUAGAUGCUUUGCUAAUUAGGGAUAUCGGUAGAAGUCGAGUGAUUUUUCUAGCACUCGUGCGAGGUCAGGAAUUGAUUGUAUCCAUUUUUAUAUUAGAAUGAUGAUGGUCUGUGGACACGGAUCCAUGGGGAUGCAUUAUUUAUGAGACGGAAAUUGGAAUAAGUAUUAACGUGCGGAUACCUGUGUCAAGCGUUUGAACGUACUAAACACAUGCCAAGAAAUAUGGUAAAUAGGUAAGCCUAGUACCUGAGUGAACCUGGCAGCAGACUUUACCCCUCACGCGACCUGAGACAUGGUCUCCCAUUCCAGUUAUGGUGGGUACAAGUGCGGUCACUACACGACGGCAGUCAGGGUCAGUGAGGCAUUAUACGCCAAGGCGGUGAGCCUUGUUCUGUUGACGGGGAAUCGAUGGGGACAGUUGAUAUGUGUGGGGAUAGAGUGCCUCACCACGUCGUGUGUUUAGGUUUACCUUGCAAGGUUUAAAACUCGAUUCUAAUCGUCAACUUCUCGCAGCUAAUGAGACUGCUUGAUCCAUUGUACUACAUUGAGUAAUAAGUGGAAAUGAGGUGACCGGCAAAAUAUGUUGAUUGAUAAAAAUGUUUGAUACCAUGUAUAAAAAGGAUCAUACUAAAACUUGAAAAGCUAAAACUUGAUUUUAGUCUCAGCUAGUGCUUUUGGCAAACCAAACCCCUCAGCCAACAGCUGCAUGUCUAGAGGUAGAGGAGUAGACUCCUCACACCGGGUAAGUCUAGCUGAGUAUUAGUAUACUCAGCCUUGCUUGUGGCAUAAUUUUUGAAGGUACUCCUUAGGAUGAUUGGUUGAUGGUGUGACUUGGCCUCCAUCCCUGCCACCGGGAUAGACGGUCGAGUGGGUUACUGCUUCCGCAGGAGAGGACCAGGAGGAGUAGCGUGGCCAGGCUUCACUAUGUUACUCGGUUUUCUCCGUUAGUUAUUUCCGCUGCAUUAAAAUUUAUGGUUAUUAUUUCUGAAACUCCGAUAAUUUAAUCACUAAUGAUACUUAUUAAAUUUGUGGUAUUAUUUUUUAUUGUAUUUCUCUGUGUCUCACCUUCGAGUGAGCUAGUGGUAUUCGAUCCUGGUUAAGUGGCUUUAUCGGACUAAAUCCGAGGGACUGACGAGUUAUUCCGAUUUAAGUGUGUUGCUGCCUUUAAGGGUGCGACUUGGGCACUUAAGCUGGAAUAAUUCGGGCGGUUCCGCCACAUAAGGCAGCCAGUGAAAAAAUAUCAGGGGUGGGAAGCGGUGGUAGAUAGGAUCGGCUGUAGGAUAUUUUCCUUUUUUGCCUUUUCUUUUUACACAAUAAUCAAUCUUUAUUCGUGCUCUCAUAUUUGAAUCUAGUACCAAGAUAUAAAUAAGGUUUAGCUUGGUCAAACCAAAAUGACAUUGCCAAUUACACAGGAGAUUUCUUUUGAUAUAACUGAGACCCGAUAAAUUCAUCUGUUACCCGAAUGCUCAGAGUAGAGCAAGAAAUAAAGGACCAGACCACAUCAUUGUCUUCGAGCACAAUUUCUCAGAUAACACACGGGGUCAAGAUUAUUUUGAACUGAAAGCCUUAUUUGUCUAAUUCUAAAUGAAUUUGUUUGGGGUCAACUCAGCGGGCGGAACUAAAUUUUCAAAUUUGUCUUUGCGCGAGCGAUGAAUUUUAAAUAAUCACCAGACUCGCCGAUUUUCGGAACAAUUAUGUUCCGAACAUCAUGAAAAUUUAGGAAAAGCCCGGAUAGAUAAAUAUAAAAACGAUAUCGAACUCGCGACAGAUGAAAAAGAUGAAGACAUAGAGACUGUUAUUAUUACUGAUAUCUCGUACUUACAUCCAUAGUCGCUGCUAAACGUAUUGUAACACCUGGGGUGUUAUAGCCCUCCCCCCUUAAAAGAAUCUCGUCCCGAGAUUCGGAGCAAAAGACUUUUAAGAGUAGCGAAGCAUGUAACUCAUGUCCAUAUCAGCGAUAGCACAAGACCAUUUUGGACGGGAUCAAAGAUCUUAGAUGUUGUUUCUCUAGUGGAUAUAGCAUGUAUUGCCUUGAGCUAAUUUAGAGAUGUCCUUCAAUAGAGACGAUGUCUGCUAGAAGAACACAUAAGGUUCCCUAUGUGCAGUUUGCUUUUUCUAAUAACACUGUACUACCUGAGUCUGGAGGGCAAGCGGUAGAUAUGCGACUUUACCCAAAUAGAAUUAGUUGCAACCUCUUGGGUAAAACACACAGAAAGAGGUUUACCAACAAGUGGUCGUUGGAAAUUCAUAGCACAUAAGACGAGUGUGGAUGUCGAAUACUGUCACGGCUAACAUGUGGCUAACCAGAGAAUUCAAGUGCACGAAAGAUGAUAGAGAUUCAAGAAAAUAUCAAUGAAGAGAUCCGUUGAUGUUGACGUCGCGACCAACCCAUUUUGUAAAACACUUAGCACGGCUCAACUGGAUCACACAUGUUAGAAAAUCACAUGUGAGGUGAUCGAGACACGUCUAGAACGAUAAUUGGGUGGUUACUGGCUGACCUAAUCUUGAUUCUUGAAAGUACUUCCUUAGGAUGGGUUGAACUAAAGUGAGUUCAGACAACUCGAUAAAACGAUCGAUAAACUCAAGGUUUGUUCAUUGGGCAGUUACAAGUUAGUAAAACCAACUUGUUGAACUACUUUUGACAUUGAGCAAGUCCUCUUAUUAUUUAUCGGCAAUCCAAGAGUUGAGAGUUCACAUUUGCUAACAAGAGACCAUGUAUUUGAAUAGAAUUCCAUUCGGUCGGGUUGUUCAUCCAUCUCUUCCAUGUGAGACAAACUAUACACUCAGAAGUUGUAUGAAUCAAGCAAGAUAGCGAAUGGACAAACUCCUGCAUUUCAGCAGCAGGGAAAAUCAAUCUCCAUUUUGAGAAUUAAUCAGCCACCUUCCAACACUAAAAAGUUCCAAGGCUUCACCUUUACAACAAAGGAUGCAAAGGGAACUUGGAUACGUACAGUCACUACCAAAGUCAAGGGAAAAGAGACCACACAAGAGAGGAGUGAUUAUUAUCACACGAUUAGACACAAUAGGUUCCGAUUUCGAUGAGGACUUAUGAAUUAGUAGAAAACUCGUUAAAGAACACCUCAAAGUGGUAUGCUCUUUUGACUCAACAGAGAUGAUAGAUGUUGCUUGAUCACUUGACAAACAACAUAGAAAUCAUUUCACAGAAGAGAUCUACGAAAGAUAACAUAUUAGAGUAGUUCCAUAAUGGAUCAUGACCAGAGACCUUGAUAACAGCAUCCGACGAGUAGCACAACCUUGUGUGCGCAUUCACAGGAGGCUCUCAGUUUCGCCGCGGCACCAUAAGUCAAUCAUGAGACCAUGACCGAACUGGCACCAAUAAUGAAUCUCACGCGGUAAGAACAAUUUGUGCAGAGAUAACAUAUCGAUAUAGUCUCAUAAUGGAUUAUGACUACUAAUUGUGAUACCAGCGCGUGCUAAGUAGCACAACCAUGUGUGUACAUUCACAGGAGGCCCUCGGUUUUGUCACAGCACCAUCGAUUUUAGUCAUAACACCAUUACUAGACGUAACCAAUAAGAAAUCUCGCGCGACACCAAUGGAUUGGGCAAGGGUGACAAAUAUACAAAGAGAUACUCCACCUGUAAGAAUGGUUACAAGUAGAGAGCCAAAUAGAUCAUGGCCCGAUGAAAUGAACAAGACAUGGCCAUAACCUAAACUUCAUUAAACGAGUACGAUGGCAGACUGUUACUUAUACCCAAGCGUAUUUGUAUGCCCAUCACCGAGGUUACAAGGUCAAGGAUUAGUAUCUGACUAGAUGCGGAGGGAAAACAAUCAUAAGAUUAAGUUGGUAUGCCUUAGAUAGAUAUGAGGAAACCAAAGGCAUCAAUUAAGGAAAAUGAUCAGGCAUGACUUUCCUAGGUUGGGUUGAUAAAGCGACAAUGCAAUCCUCCAGGAGAGGCAAAAUAGAAUAGAGAUAUCAACUUGCACCAACCGAACAAGGGAAUGGUUCUAGAAGGAGACAUGACUCAAGAUUCUUGGUUUAAGCCCGGGUACACUUUUAUGUCCAACAAAGAAAUUAUCUAAGCAGUUAUUUGUACAAGUUUGGUCAAGGAGGGAUAACAGAAAAAUCAACUUUGGGUCAUGGUUCACUAAAUAAGAACAUAGCCUAGUUUUGAGUUUAGGCAAACAAGUCAGAAACAUUCUAUCGGCGCAUUAAGCACAAGAGCAAACACAAUUUGCACUAAUGGUCAAAUUAUGAAAAGCUGGAAGACAUCUAAACACGUAUCUCUAAGACAUCACAUUAUUUACACUCACCAAAUACUGGAAUAUAGGUGACAAACACGAUGCAACAAUCAGGAUGCAUGCUCGUCCUGUUCGUCCUCACAAGUUUUGCCAACAUAAUGUGGCAAUAGCGUUCUAUAUUGGUGGCAUACUUACGACUCUCUCGGUAUUUUACUAGUCAUUAGCUAAACAUACGUUUUUGAGGUUAGUGUACCUGCAGAAAAUUCCAUCACAGCCCAAUUUCCGAUGAUGCACUUCACACAUGACAGUUUAUCAUAGUUUAUACUCCAUAUAUUGCUAUAUGGAGGCCAGCUCUUCAUUAAGCGCCAAGCCACGCAUAGGCGCCGUUGCCACACUUUAACCAUAGGGCAGCUUAUUAUGGUAACUCACCUUCUUACCUGAGCGUAGGUGCAUCGUUGCAAGUACAUUACACUUCUCAGUAUUCCCAUGUCUGUAUACCUAUACACACACAUGGGGUACCGAAUUCCCAGAAAAGUAAAUACUCCACAUCGCAGCCUUCAUAUAUACAUAUGUGGAACAUGUAUAUAAUCAAGCGCUUUUUAUGCUCUCCACUAGACCGACGAUUGUUCGGUCCUGCUCUCACAUCUCACCUUACCUGAUCGUCGAUCCAUUCAAAAUUGAAUGGCCUCAAAAAUAACAUUACACAUGUAUGCAAUAUCCCCCGGUUGUGGGUUAAUGUUUUAAAUAAGCCACCAGAUAGUCCUUAAUUUAGGGCUUAACAGAGGAUGUCGCUAGCACUAUAGUUUUUCAAAUCUAUUUUUCAAAACCAAACAAUGUUUUUAGUUGAAAAUAGGUUUUUCAAAACCAAAACUUUGUUUUGAAAAUACGUAUGUGACCGUAUAUACUUAAACUUGGUUCGAUACCAGCUGUGGCAGAACCUCCCAAGUUAUUGGGCCCACAUGCACCUGACCUUGUCUCAAAGACCUCAGACGGUUAUGCAUGUGCACUAGAUAACUUAAUAGGAUCCGUCCGAGUGUCCCAAGGACCCUGGAUAAACCACUUCCAACUAGGACCGCUAGAUUAAUUAAACACAAAUCACACACCAACAUUUUGCAGCGGAAUUUCUUUAUUACAAAAGUUACAAGUUACAACAAAUUUACAUUAUAUUUAUCAGAGUGGUUACAAAGUUUCAAAGAAAUAAACUUUGAAAUAUUAUAAAUUAUUUAUAAGUUUGAAAUAUAUGCUAGCUUAAGUGACCAUCCUCAAUAAGAAGUAUAGAAGAGUUACUUUAACCUAUAAGAAGGCCGUGUCCACCGGCGCUUAACACCAUCCACAACAGCACAAUUCUAGUACCUGCAACAACAUGGGUUCGAAAACCCUAAGUACGAAGUGUACUUUCGCAAGUCUUACCCGUCUAAGGAAAAAGACUCUCAAGGAUAUGCUGGCUUUUGGGAAUCAAGGUAAAGUUUAACAAGAUUCAAAGACUCUUUUGCAGAAAAGCUACUAUGAGUGGAUCCUUAAGAAUUCAUUUUACUUGUCAGGUUAAGUAAAGUUACCUGCAUCUAGAGUUCUUUCUACCCUAGUUCAGGCACUUGGCCUAUACUAGCCGUCCUUUUAUCAUCCCUUCAGUUCACUGGAUUGCUACAUGUAGGGCAGUGACCAAGUUUUCAUGUCCGAGAAGUAACAGCAAUCUGAAUCGAUUAAUACCCAGCUGGGGUUCUCCAACCACACAACAUAUGUAGCACUUAACCCUUGCAUAUGUCAACUCGCCACCGGGUUUCUCAAGACCAGACCGGGUUCACGCCAACCGAGAGCAUAGAUACACCAUCGUCCAGCCUCUUGCCACAGAGGGUACACGCUACUCUCGCUAUCUCUCCACUCCCAUUGCGUGUUGGCCUUUCUGGUAUUGGCCCGACUAAGGCAAAGCUUACCCAUGACGAGGCAUGUGGCCAGUUAAAAGGUCCUCAAUCAUCAAGCCUACAUCGACACGGUCCUUAAUCGACUCAGACGGAGACACUACACCGAGACUUCCUUCUCAUGCAAGUCAUCCGCCCAGUCUCGUCUUUAUUAUUUAAAACGCAAAGUUUGGUACCUGGCAGAGGUACAUAUUUUCAGAUGUUGAACCCAUCAAGGUCUUGAUGGAUUCACCAUCACAAGUUUUUCUUUGUAAAAAUUCCAUCCAAUCUGAAGCAUCACCUUUUGUUGUAAAACAAACCAUUUUGUUUUGUAAAGCAAUGCUAAGCAUCGUAAAAAUCCUUUUCAUAAAAGGGUAUCAAGGAAGGAUAAUCAAUUUUCCAAGGAAGGAAAUGCAUCAAUUCUUUAGCACACAACUCCUAUCACCUAAUGCAUCAAACAAGGUGAUAAAGAUUUUAAAACACAAGGAAAGGGAUAAUGCACCGGGGCUUGCCUGGAAUAAACACUACGUUAGUGUUUGUUAGAUGACGUCCACUUGGCGAUCAGCUUUUGUUCCGAUACUUGCCCCGUCUGUCCAUCUUCAGGUUCGUCCAUCAGCAUCACCUUACGUGUGGCUCACGCUUUCUAGCCUCUUGUGGUCGACUCAGCUUUGGUCCUCCGCAUCUCGUGAUUAAUUAACGUACCUCAUGGGAUGCACAAUGCACAUGUAUGAAUAUCAAGACGAAUAUCGCAAGAUAAUAUUACGAUUUUACACAGUGAAGAAUUAAACACUUAAUGGCGAGAUGUAUUACAACACUCAUGAUACUAGUAUCGACAUAUUACUGAAUACAACAAUCACCCUCUCUAUCUUAACCAGAUCUAACUCAAACAUCAAGAACAAU